Molecule: ribosomal RNA, 253 nt
Filed under: uncultured bacterium
Lineage: Bacteria
Description: partial 16S ribosomal RNA
Rfam family: Bacterial small subunit ribosomal RNA
Source: RNAcentral
UACAGAGGUGGCAAGCGUUGUUCGGAAUUACUGGGCGUAAAGCGCGCGUAGGCGGUCUAUCAAGUCAGAGGUGAAAUCCCUGGGCUCAACCCAGGAACUGCCUUUGAAACUGAUAAACUAGAGUGUCGGAGGGGAUAGCGGAAUUGCUAAUGUAGAGGUGAAAUUCGUAGAUAUUAGCAGGAACACCGGUGGCGAAGGCGGCUAUCUGGACGACAACUGACGCUGAGGCGCGAAAGCGUGGGGAUCAAACAGG